AUGAAACAGGCGAAGCAGGCGGCGGUGAUGGAGGAACAAAUCACGGCGCUGGCCAAGGCCGUCAACGACGGGCGGGUGGCCAACGAGGCCCGCCUCGACGCGAUCCAGCAGUCACUGGAACUAUGGAGGCCGGCGGUCACCCAUCUCCAACACCAGGUUGACGAGUUGCGCACGCAGGUGGGGUGCAUCACGCUCCAUCCGGCGCUGGCGGCGCCUCCGGAUCCUAUCCCGGAGGGCGACGCGGUGGUGCGCCGGUUCCUGCAGCAACUACGGACACCGCCGAGCACCACGGGCCAUUAG
RNAcentral lists this ribosomal RNA (300 nucleotides) under Triticum aestivum (bread wheat). RNAcentral describes it as "partial small subunit ribosomal RNA". Lineage: Eukaryota; Viridiplantae; Streptophyta; Magnoliopsida; Poales; Poaceae. The record is from RNAcentral.